GAGUUUUGUUCUUGUCACUCAGGCUGGAGUGCAAUGGUGUCAUCUCGGCUCGCUGCAACCUCUGCCUUCUGGAUUCAAGCAAUUCUCCUGCUUCAGCCUUCAGAGUAGCUGGGAUUACAGGAUUGCACCACCACGUCUAGCUAAUUUUUGUAUUUUUAGUAGAGAUGGGGUUUCACCAUGUUGGCCAGGCUGGUCUGGAACUCCUGAGCCACUGCACCCAGUCAAGAGGGAGAUUUUCAAUCAAUAACUAUAAUUGUGAUGAAUGCCAGAAAGAAGAAUGUGUGUGAUGGGGAAGGGACCUAAGUUAUUGUCUCAUAUUUUAACACUUUCACAGGCGAUAACUAUAAACUUAGAAGCUUAAAACAACACACACUUUUAAGCCAAUUUUGGCAAGCUAGGAGUUGAGCACAUUUUAGCGGGUCCUGUGCUUGGGAUCUCACGCUAAGCAGCUGGGCUGCAUCCUCAUCUGAGGCUCCACCAGGGCAGAAUCCAUUUCCUGGGACCCGGUUGGCAAGGGCCCAGCUUUUUGCUUCCUUGCCUACGGGGCCCCUCUAAAGGUCUUUUCUCAGCACAUCAUCUCCUCCGGCAGCCUGCAUGAACCUUUCUCUCAAGUGUGAGAAGGUGAUGCACUGUGACAGUGACAUCCCAUUGCUUUUGCCAGGCUCUAUGGGUUAGAAGCCAGUCACCGGUUUUGCUCGUACCCAAGGUCAGGAAGACUAUACAAGGGCAUAGGUUAUUGGGGGGUCAGCCACUUUAGGGUGUGGCUGCCACCACAGAACUUGGUGAGAAUUUAAGGGUUGGUAGGAGCUGGCCAGGUACAGGGGUGAGGGUGUGUCAGGCAGGGGUGAGGGCAUGGAGGGGGAUGCAGAGGCCUGCACCCUGGAAUGUCCUUUCACUCCCUGAGGUUUUGUUCUCCUGAUCCCUGAGUACAUCCCAGAACACGGUGGGGCCCUAGCAGGGGAGAGGUAGGGAAGCAUGUGUUGUUCAUCUGGGGAGCUUGUUAGGCAAAUCAGAUUAGGGGCCAGGCUUUCAGUGGUGGGUGUGAGCGUGGGAGUGAUGAGUGUUCAGGUGUGUGUGGGAAGAGCGAUGGGGAUGAGGUCAGCCUCAGCCACCAUGAAGACCUUAACUGUGCAUCCACCCAUCCCAGCAGUAUCCCUGAGUGAGUGCCUUCAGGGUGCAGGUCCUGUUUUACACAGGUCCCAGUAGCUGGGACCACAAGUACGCGCCACCACGAUCGGCUAAGUUUUUGUAUUUUUAGCAGAGAUGGGGUUUCAUCUUGUUGGCCAGGCUGGUUUCGAACUCCUGGCCUCAAGUGAUCCACCUGCCUCGGCCCCACAAAGUACUGGGAUUACAGGCGCGAGCCACCGCGCCCGGCCCUACUUCACUCCUAAAGCCCACCAUACGUGCUUCCAAAUGUUUGCUGAAUCACAAAGUGAACGAGUGAAUGGGACUACGUGACUUCGGGCAGCAGGCAAUCCUAUUCCUUGGACCUCAGUUUCACUUUUUGUAAAGCAAGCCUGUCUCUCGCUCUCUGCCCUAAAAGCCUGAGUUCUGGGCUUGAGAUGAGCGCGUCCUGUAGACCAGACUGCAGGUGGACGUUGAGCUGGGUCUUCUAGGAGGCCAGGAUCCGGCCAGCUCUUGGGUCCGGUCCUCCCGCGGAACCCUGUACGCCCAAUCCCAGCACCGCCCCGCCCAGCCUCCAUUUGUUCCCCUAGGCCCCGCCC
This is a long non-coding RNA of Macaca fascicularis (crab-eating macaque), 1724 nucleotides long. NCBI's taxonomy places the organism in Eukaryota, Metazoa, Chordata, Mammalia, Primates, Cercopithecidae. The record is from Ensembl.